ACAAAAAAGAAGAAGAAGAGCAAAAAGGAGACUUUCUUGACACAAAAGUCCUCUUCUUUUCCUCUUUCUUCUUCUUCUUCUUCUUUGUCUU
RNAcentral lists this non-coding RNA (91 nucleotides) under Lotharella globosa. Lineage: Eukaryota; Cercozoa; Chlorarachniophyceae. The record is from RNAcentral.